CCUACGGGAGGCAGCAGUGGGGAAUAUUGCACAAUGGGGGAAACCCUGAUGCAGCGACGCCGCGUGAGCGAUGAAGUAUUUCGGUAUGUAAAGCUCUAUCAGCAGGGAAGAAGAUGACGGUACCUGCCUAAGAAGCCCCGGCUAACGACGUGCCAUCAGCCGCGGUAAUACGUAGGGGGCAAGCGUUAUCCGGAUUUACUGGGUGGAAGGGGAGCGUAGACGGCGAUGCAAGCCAGAUGUGAAAGCCCGGGGCGCAACCCCGGGACUGCAUUUGGAAAUGUGGGGCUGGAGUGUCGGAGAGGCAGGCGGAAUUCCUAGUGUAGCGGUGAAAUGCGUAGAUAUUAGGAGGAACACCAGUGGCGAAGGCGGCCUGCUGGACGAUGACUGACGUUGAGGCUCGAAAGCGUGGGGAGCAAACAGGAUUAGAUACCCGUGUAGUC
Molecule: ribosomal RNA, 440 nt
Filed under: uncultured bacterium
Lineage: Bacteria
Description: partial 16S ribosomal RNA
Rfam family: Bacterial small subunit ribosomal RNA
Source: RNAcentral